GAUUAAUUCCUUAAUUUCCAAACUCAUCCUUGCAAUAAUCUUUGUAUACACUCUUUAAAGAAUGAAUCAAUUGCAACAUAAUAUGGGUUGUGGGGGUGGGAAACUAGUUAAGUGUUAUGAAAGAACAUGGCUUCAACUUCGAAUCUGACUCCUCAUGGAACAAUGGAAAUUGUGUUCCAUAUAGAAUGGGUUACUCAUGUUGUAUUCUAUAAAGAUCUGAAGAUUCUUCUUAUUAUUCCUCAACAAUUAUAGGGAUUGGUUCUUCAAAUUUGUCAUCAUCAAAAUCGUCAAGAAAGAAAUUUGCGUCUACAGAUUCCACAUCUUCAUAAGUUCGCUCCAUUUUUUCAUCUAAAUCUAGAAAAAAGUGCAUUCAUUCAAACUUGAAACACCAAAUAAAUAUGUUUGUGAAAGUAUCUCAAGACAUCGAUGGAUGAUGUUAAGACUCCUAUAGCCACCAUUUGAGAGCUCAGUAUCUCAUUGCCAUUGCAACUACUUUCAUCUUCUUCUUCUUCAAAGUUUCUUCCGUUCUGAAAUAUUUUUAGAGUAAAUGAUCAACCAAUAUGCAUCUUCUACUUCAUAAAAAAUCAAAAACAGAAUCACAAAUGUUAUUUAAUCGAAAAUAAAAUUAAAAUAAGAGUAUUAGUUGAUAGGAUAAUUUCAUAUCAAAACUAAGACAUUAUUGUUUCUAUAAAAAAGUGAAAGAACACUUCAAAACUAUCUAACAAAACUAAAAUAACAUUUUUUCCUUCAUUGAUAAGUUAAGAUCUCUCGAUGAGAGUACAUAUAGUGUUAAUAGGAGAUCAUAACUAGAAGGUAGCCCAAUUACAUAACUAUCAAAUAAAAAUACAACUAAUAAUAUUAUAUUUUCUAGCGUAACUAAAUAAUUUAGUUAAUUGUAUUUCUUUUCCCUAACAUACAUAUUUCAUAUUUCUAACCUUCAAGAUCGUCUUCGUCUUGUAAUAUUCAAUAUUUAUUUAAGAGGAUGAACAUUCAAUAUUUAUUUUUUCUUAUUUUUAGCUUAAUUCGAAAAAACACUCGUUACAAAAGG
Molecule: long non-coding RNA, 1048 nt
Filed under: Lathyrus oleraceus (garden pea)
Lineage: Eukaryota; Viridiplantae; Streptophyta; Magnoliopsida; Fabales; Fabaceae
Description: Pisum sativum (pea) long non-coding RNA (PSAT_LNC016938)
Source: RNAcentral